Molecule: non-coding RNA, 320 nt
Organism: Paramisgurnus dabryanus
Lineage: Eukaryota; Metazoa; Chordata; Actinopteri; Cypriniformes; Cobitidae
Source: RefSeq, a predicted model, not a curated record
ACAGAUCAGACCGUGAAUGAUGAUGAGGCCGAUGAAGAGACCUGUAAAGAUGACGCCCUUCCACGAAACAAACACAAUGCACGGAGGAAAGCCCUUAUGGAAAAAUACUGGAGGCUUCGGGAGGCAAUUGCAAAAAAAGAAGAGGAAUUUAAAAAACAGACCCGGGUCCUCAGUAUGUUUACGAAGGUCAUCAUUGAUGACCCUCCUGAACCUUUCGUGGCAAGUGGAGACCUAAGAGGUCUCAAUGAAGCCUAAAUGUGUGUUGUGUUUUUAUUUAUAUUUGUUCAUAGAUUUGUAAGAUUAAUAUCAGUUUGUUUUGU